RNAcentral lists this ribosomal RNA (492 nucleotides) under uncultured bacterium. Its description in RNAcentral is "partial 16S ribosomal RNA". It matches the Rfam family "Bacterial small subunit ribosomal RNA", at positions 29 to 507 of the family's 1533-position model. The record is from RNAcentral.
AGUGAACGCUGGCGGUAGGCCUAACACAUGCAAGUCGAACGGCAGCACAGUAAGAGCUUGCUCUUACGGGUGGCGAGUGGCGGACGGGUGAGGAAUACAUCGGAAUCUACUUUUUCGUGGGGGAUAACGUAGGGAAACUUACGCUAAUACCGCAUACGACCUACGGGUGAAAGCAGGGGAUCUUCGGACCUUGCGCGAUUGAAUGAGCCGAUGUCGGAUUGGCUAGUUGGCGGGGUAAAGGCCCACCAAGGCGACGAUCCGUAGCUGGUCUGAGAGGAUGGUCAGCCACACUGGAACUGAGACACGGUCCAGGCUCCUACGGGAGGCAGCAGUGGGGAAUAUUGGACAAUGGGCGCAAGCCUGAUCCAGCCAUACCGCGUGGGUGAAGAAGGCCUUCGGGUUGUAAAGCCCUUUUGUUGGGAAAGAAAAGCAGCAGGUUAAUACCCCGCUGUUCUGACGGUACCCAAAGAAUAAGCACCGGCUAACUUCGUG